CAGUGGCAGACGGGUGAGUAACACGUGGGAACGUACCCUUCGGUUCGGAAUAACUCAGGGAAACUUGAGCUAAUACCGGAUACGCCCUAUUGGGGAAAGGUUUACUGCCGAAGGAUCGGCCCGCGUCUGAUUAGCUUGUUGGUGGGGUAACGGCCUACCAAGGCGACGAUCAGUAGCUGGUCUGAGAGGAUGAUCAGCCACACUGGGACUGAGACACGGCCCAGACUCCUACGGGAGGCAGCAGUGGGGAAUAUUGGACAAUGGGCGCAAGCCUGAUCCAGCCAUGCCGCGUGAGUGAUGAAGGCCUUAGGGUUGUAAAGCUCUUUUGUCCGGGACGAUAAUGACGGUACCGGAAGAAUAAGCCCCGGCUAACUUCGUGCCAGCAGC
This 387-nucleotide ribosomal RNA is filed under the name Methylobacterium sp. S2.2. RNAcentral describes it as "bacterial SSU rRNA". It matches the Rfam family "Bacterial small subunit ribosomal RNA", at positions 93 to 515 of the family's 1533-position model. The record is from RNAcentral. Lineage: Bacteria; Pseudomonadati; Pseudomonadota; Alphaproteobacteria; Hyphomicrobiales; Methylobacteriaceae.